This 72-nucleotide transfer RNA is filed under the name Camelus bactrianus (Bactrian camel). It matches the Rfam family "tRNA". Rfam says of the family: Transfer RNA (tRNA) molecules are approximately 80 nucleotides in length. Lineage: Eukaryota; Metazoa; Chordata; Mammalia; Artiodactyla; Camelidae. The record is from Rfam by way of RNAcentral. RNAcentral also lists the same sequence under 2 other names.
GAGGGUAUGGCUCUGUGGUAGAGCGUGUGCUCAGCAUGCACAAGGCCCUGGGUUCAAUCCCCAGCACCUCCA